AAGGGCACCACAAGAACGCGUGGAGCAUGUGGCUUAAUUUGACUCAACGCGGGAAAUCUUACCGGGUCCGGACACACUGAGGAUUGACAGGUUCUAUUAAAUGUAACUAUUUUUUGUUUAUUUUAUGUUAAAUAUGCUAGUCCUUUCAUGAUUAUGUGAUAGGUGGUGCAUGGCCGUUCUUAGUUCGUGGAGUGAUCUGUCUGCUUAAUUGCGUUUCACUAAGGGCUUAUAUAAACGUGUAUUGCAGCGCUUUGACCCCUAUUUUAUUUAUUUAUUUUAGUGCGUGUCUUAGUUGUUUUGCUCACACAUUUAAGUCCUGAAAGCAACGAACGUGACCGCAACCUCUUGUUGCCUUUUGCACACUACUACAUUAAUAUUUUUUAUUUUUGUAGAAAGAGAGGCUUUUAAACUAGAGGGACCGCUGUAUUUCUUUUAAACCAGAGGAAGGUUGCGGCAAUAACAGGUCUGUGAUGCCCUUAGAUGUUCCGGGCUGCACACGUGCUACAAUGAUUAUUGCAGUGAGCAUCUCAUUUAAUACACCGCUUGUGCGAUUCCAGUUUUUUAACUGCGAUUUUUGCACGCGGUAAAGCCUGCUUCGAAAGUAAGUGGGUAAUCAAUUAGAAGUAAUGAUUUCCUUUUUAGCACACAUAUAUACGGCAUUGAAACCCGGAGUAAUUUUUACAUUGCUUUUUGUGUGUUUCUUUGUUUUUCCGUAUGUGCAAUUGUCAAUUCAUGGUGGGGACAGACCAUUGUUAAUUGUUGGUCUCGGUCUUAACUAGGAAUGCCUUGUACGGGUCUUUGGUUCAACAGACCACCCGGAAUACGUCCCUGCCCUUUGUACACACCGCCCGUCGCUCUUACCGAUGGACUUCUCUGUGAGUUUGAGGGACUGGAAUUUUAUUUUGCAUUUUUUUGCUUAUAAUACCUCUAUGGAAACUUAAACGAACAGUGUGGUCUAAAGGGAAGAGAAGUCGAACAAGGCA
RNAcentral lists this ribosomal RNA (983 nucleotides) under Reophax curtus. Its description in RNAcentral is "SSU rRNA". It matches the Rfam family "Eukaryotic small subunit ribosomal RNA", at positions 1160 to 1801 of the family's 1831-position model. Lineage: Eukaryota; Foraminifera; Lituolida; Reophacidae. The record is from RNAcentral.